RNAcentral lists this ribosomal RNA (497 nucleotides) under uncultured bacterium. RNAcentral describes it as "partial 16S ribosomal RNA". It matches the Rfam family "Bacterial small subunit ribosomal RNA", at positions 28 to 507 of the family's 1533-position model. The record is from RNAcentral.
GAUGAACGCUGGCGGCGUGCCUAAUACAUGCAAGUCGAGCGAACGGACGAGAAGCUUGCUUCUCUGAUGUUAGCGGCGGACGGGUGAGUAACACGUGGAUAACCUACCUAUAAGACUGGGAUAACUUCGGGAAACCGGAGCUAAUACCGGAUGAUAUUUUGAACCGCAUGGUUCAAAAGUGAAAGACGGUCUUGCUGUCACUUAUAGAUGGAUCCGCGCUGCAUUAGCUAGUUGGUAAGGUAACGGCUUACCAAGGCAACGAUGCAUAGCCGACCUGAGAGGGUGAUCGGCCACACUGGAACUGAGACACGGUCCAGACUCCUACGGGAGGCAGCAGUAGGGAAUCUUCCGCAAUGGGCGAAAGCCUGACGGAGCAACGCCGCGUGAGUGAUGAAGGUCUUCGGAUCGUAAAACUCUGUUAGUAGGGAAGAACAUAUGUGUAAGUAACUGUGCACAUCUUGACGGUACCUAAACAGAAAGCCACGGCUAACUACGUG